GAUGAAGAACGCAGCGAAAUGCGAUAAGUAGUGUGAAUUGCAGAAUUCAGUGAAUCAUCGAAUCUUUGAACGCACAUUGCGCCCUUUGGUAUUCCAAAGGGCAUGCCUGUUCGAGCGUCAUUUGUACCCUCAAGCUUUGCUUGGUGUUGGGCGUCUUGUCUCUAGCUUUGCUGGAGACUCGCCUUAAAGUAAUUGGCAGCCGGCCUACUGGUUUCGGAGCGCAGCACAAGUCGCACUCUCUAUCAGCAAAGGUCUAGCAUCCAUUAAGCCUUCUUUUUCAACUUUUGACCUCGGAUCAGGUAGGGAUACCCGCUGAACUUAAGCAUAUCAAUAAGCGGAGGA
RNAcentral lists this unclassified non-coding RNA (342 nucleotides) under soil metagenome. Its description in RNAcentral is "partial contains 5.8S ribosomal RNA, internal transcribed spacer 2, and large subunit ribosomal RNA". The stretch from base 1 to 120 matches the Rfam family "5.8S ribosomal RNA", at positions 35 to 154 of the family's 154-position model. The record is from RNAcentral.